This 820-nucleotide long non-coding RNA is filed under the name Lingula anatina. RNAcentral's name for it is "uncharacterized LOC106177624, transcript variant X1". The record is from RNAcentral. Lineage: Eukaryota; Metazoa; Brachiopoda; Lingulata; Lingulida; Lingulidae.
UGUGUGUUAUCAGCCCGGGAGCCACCGGCUCAUAUGACGGUUAUUUUGGAGAAUAUUAGAUUUGGCCUCGUUUUCAAAACCUGAAGGGGCGGCCGUCCCAAAUAUGGCGGGAGAAGCAGGCAUAGAGACAGUGACCUAAAGUGUUGACAGUUCAAAGGCUUGUAUUAUAACAAUUAAGAUGUCAGUGUUACACAGCUGAAUAUACAUGUACAUUCCCAAGUAGCUUGAAGAACAUGAAAGGGACCAGGAUUAAUCAUUUUGCCAUUCCUUGGCAAUUAUGACAGAAGCUCAAGCACCUAUCAUGCAGCCAUAAAUAAAGUUAUUUAAUCCUUUUAAAACUGAAAACAUUCUUUGAAAACUUGGUUACAGUUCUUUCCAAUGAAUGAAAUACAUAAACAUAUUCAUGUAAUAUCAUUAUAAAUGUGGAAGUUUUUAAAGAAGUUUGGCUGUGAAAUCACCACUAUAUGACACUUACAAAAAUAAAUUCAAAUGAAAAUAUAGACUGGUACAGGGCUAAAUGGUAUUAGUGAAAUAUAUUGCUCAUCCCAGGUAAAUUUAUGAAAUUAUAUUAAUUGUUUACAUUGAUCCUGUUUUUAAAAGGAGUAGUGUGUCCUGUGGCUAAAACAGUAUGUUAUGAUCAAGAAGUGUAAAAUAAUUGCCAUAUCAAUGCGUUGCAAAAGUAAAAAAAAAUUUUUGCCACAAAUAUACGUUUUUUUUUGCAUCAGCUUUAACCCCUGUUGGCUGUCACAAUAUUGAUAUUUUUUGUUGAUGAUAUUAUGUUUUAAAUGUCAUAUUAUAGUUGUUCACAUGUAAAAAAAAA